GAUGAACGCUGGCGGCGUGCCUAAUACAUGCAAGUCGAGCGAACGGACGAGAAGCUUGCUUCUCUGAUGUUAGCGGCGGACGGGUGAGUAACACGUGGAUAACCUACCUAUAAGACUGGGAUAACUUCGGGAAACCGGAGCUAAUACCGGAUGAUAUUUUGAACCGCAUGGUUCAAAAGUGAAAGACGGUCUUGCUGUCACUUAUAGAUGGAUCCGCGCUGCAUUAGCUAGUUGGUAAGGUAACGGCUUACCAAGGCAACGAUGCAUAGCCGACCUGAGAGGGUGGUCGACCACACUGGAACUGAGACACGGUCCAGACUCCUACGGGAGGCAGCAGUAGGGAAUCUUCCGCAAUGGGCGAAAGCCUGACGGAGCAACGCCGCGUGAGUGAUGAAGGUCUUCGGAUCGUAAAACUCUGUUAUUAGGGAAGAACAUAUGUGUAAGUAACUGUGCACAUCUUGACGGUACCUAAUCAGAAAGCCACGGCUAACUACGUG
RNAcentral lists this ribosomal RNA (497 nucleotides) under uncultured bacterium. RNAcentral's name for it is "partial 16S ribosomal RNA". It matches the Rfam family "Bacterial small subunit ribosomal RNA", at positions 28 to 507 of the family's 1533-position model. The record is from RNAcentral.